RNAcentral lists this long non-coding RNA (1372 nucleotides) under Gopherus evgoodei (Goodes thornscrub tortoise). Its description in RNAcentral is "lncRNA (ENSGEVG00005015569.1)". Lineage: Eukaryota; Metazoa; Chordata; Testudines; Testudinidae. The record is from RNAcentral.
CUACCCAGGUGGGGAUUCCGUGGUACAGAAAUAAAUGAAGUGUGGGGAUGAGGAUAGCUACAGCACAUGUGCAGACUGCCUGGACAUUGCUGGAAAGAACUCUUUGAUGGAAGACACAUGAGGCACACACACAUCUGAAGUGGAGCAUCUGCAGACACACACAUCUCAAAGAAUUCAAGUUACUGUAUCUAUACUGUAAGUAAUCUCUCCUUCUGAUAAAGGCUGCUUUUUGAGGAUGAGGGUGGGUUAUUGUUUGGGACUCUGCUCAUUGUCAGGAAUCAGGACUUUCUGCAGAGCAAAUCUCCAAGCCACCUAACGAGCACAGCUGGCCUGUAGUAAGCUGUCUUAUUGGCUACACAGCCUAAUUUGUUGGUAGAGUCAUCAGAAUUAGCUCUUCAGCCCAGUAGCAGCAGCUGCUCAGCUUCAACUAUAUGUGAAAAUGUUCCCAGCUGCAGUGUAAUCAUUUCCUGUAUCAUAAGCUAAUUACUCGCAUCCUUCCUUAUUUUUCCUACAUGUACGCAGUCCAAAAGAGUCUUGGUGAUGAAAUUCAUCCUAUUGCACUGCAGAAGGAGCACCAUGAAGAAAACACAGAAGAAGAACAGAACUUUCACAGCUUAUUGAUAAAAUCAAGGUGAAAUUAUUUCAAGCUGAGUGAGCAGACAGGAAACAGGGGCUGCUUGUAAAUGUGAACAUGUUUUCUGUUGUGAUAGUUGUGAGCCACAAGCUUCCUUCUGGGGAUGAAUUUUAAAAGUCGAAUUCACCCCAAACCAGCUCUCUUCAGAGAUGCAAGAUUUUUUUUGUGUUCAUCUGUGUUUAAUCACCAAGAAAACUGAGAGAAACAAAUCAAACGAGGCCACCAUAUCUAGUUUAUAGCCUUCUUGCUAAUGGGUUUUUUCCCCCUGAUACUGGUGAUGGAAAACCGAAGCAGCAUCAGUGAUCUGCUUGUACGUGCCCUUGACAACCUUGCUCAGGAAGACUUCAAAAGAUUUAAAGACAAACUAUCACACUUUGACUUUAAGGGAAACGGUAACAUUCCCCAGGGUCAGCUGGAGAAUGCCGACAGGAUAGAUACUAAGAACCUCCUGAUGAAAUUCUAUGGUGCAGAGGCUGCCUUGGAUGUAACCAUAGAUGUUUUCACUCAGCUCAACCUCAGAGAGGCUGAUGAAAAGCUCAGAGAAGAAAGAAAGAAAGUUUUAUCACAGGAAAAGGAGAAAACAGCAAAAGUUGAAGAAACAAGAGGGAAUGACAGACGAUGGGAUCUGAGACCAUGUGCAGAGAUACGUCAUGCCAAGGAGCAGGGAGUUGAUAAUCCCUCUCUGAAAGGCUCUGGUAAGACUGCACUUAGACUACUGCAUCCACUUCUUAGUCCAAU